GACCGUACCCCAAACCGACACAGGUGGUCAGGUAGAGAAUACCAAGGCGCUUGAGAGAACUCGGGUAAAGGAACUAGGCAAAAUGGUGCCGUAACUUCGGGAGAAGGCACGCCGGUGGUAUGUGACGCCCUUCGCGGGUUGAGCAGAAGCCGGUCGAAGAUACCAGGCCCCUGCGACUGUUUAUUAAAAACACAGCACUGUGCAAACACGAAAGUGGACGUAUACGGUGUGACGCCUGCCCGGUGCCGGAAGGUUAAUUGAUGGGGUUAGCGCUUGCGCGAAGCUCUUGAUCGAAGCCCCGGUAAACGGCGGCCGUAACUAUAACGGUCCUAAGGUAGCGAAAUUCCUUGUCGGGUAAGUUCCGACCUGCACGAAUGGCGUAACGAUGGGGGCGCUGUCUCUACCCGAGACUCAGUGAAAUUGAAAUCGCCGUGAAGAUGCGGUGUAUCCGCGGCUAGACGGAAAGACCCCGUGAACCUUUACUAUAGCUUCACAGUGAACUUUGAGCAUGUUUGUGUAGGAUAGCUGGGAGGCUUUGAAACCAGGACGCCAGUUCUGGUGGAGCCAACCUUGAAAUACCAGCCUGACCUGUUUGAGGUUCUAACUUCGUCCCCUUAUCGGGGAUAAGGACACUGUGUGGUGGGUAGUUUGACUGGGGCGGUCUCCUCCCAAAGCGUAACGGAGGAGCACAAAGGUGGGCUAAGCAUGGUCGGACAUCAUGCGGUUAGUGUAAUGGCACAAGCCCGCUUAACUGCGAGACAGACACGUCGAGCAGGUACGAAAGUAGGUCAUAGUGAUCCGGUGGUUCUGUAUGGAAGGGCCAUCGCUCAACGGAUAAAAGGUACUCCGGGGAUAACAGGCUGAUACCGCCCAAGAGUUCACAUCGACGGCGGUGUUUGGCACCUCGAUGUCGGCUCAUCACAUCCUGGGGCUGAAGCCGGUCCCAAGGGUAUGGCUGUUCGCCAUUUAAAGUGGUACGCGAGCUGGGUUUAGAACGUCGUGAGACAGUUCGGUCCCUAUCUGCCGUGGACGUUGGAGAUUUGAGGAAAGCUGCUCCUAGUACGAGAGGACCGGAGUGGACGAACCGCUGGUGUUCGGGUUGUGUCGCCAGACGCAUUGCCCGGUAGCUAUGUUCGGACAGGAUAACCGCUGAAAGCAUCUAAGCGGGAAGCCCCUUCCAAGAUGAGAUCUCCCUGGACCCUUGAGGUCCCUGAAGAGCCGUUCAAGACCAGGACGUUGAUAGGUCGGGUGUGUAAGCGCUGCGAGGCGUUGAGCUAACCGAUACUAAUUGCUCGUGAGGCUUGACUAU
This 1309-nucleotide ribosomal RNA is filed under the name Marinobacter salarius. Its description in RNAcentral is "partial 23S ribosomal RNA". It matches the Rfam family "Bacterial large subunit ribosomal RNA", at positions 1640 to 2925 of the family's 2925-position model. Lineage: Bacteria; Pseudomonadati; Pseudomonadota; Gammaproteobacteria; Pseudomonadales; Marinobacteraceae. The record is from RNAcentral.